GGAUGGGAUGGGAUGGGAGGGAGGACCUUCAGGCCGGGGCGGGUCCCUCGCCGAUGCGCGCUGCCGGGGGUGUCCUGGCUCCGGCUACCCUGAGGGGAAGGAGAAGAGGGAGCGUCGCUGCCGCCGUCGAGGGAGCUCCGUCUUUGGUUGGCCCUUGGCGAGCACCGCUUCCCCGUCCGGCCCCGGGAGCGCUUCUCGUCCAAGAGGUGGGUGCUGUGGGUUUCGGGACCAGCGCCAGCGCCUCCUUCCGCCUCCCCUGCCCCACUUCUGCUUCUCCUCUUCCACCCCCACCCACACAGCCCGCAUGUCUCCGCGGGAUAUGGCGAUUUGGGGGGAUCCUAGGGGUAAAUAAUAGCCCUUCCUCGCGCUUCGCUCCCCAACCUGGACGACCAUGGCUUGCCCCCCCCCUAGAUUUGAUCCUGGCUACGCCCAUGCUCCUGCCCCCUGCCCCCUGGCCACAGCCCCCUCUCUCCUGCUCCAGGAAUCCCGCGCUGCCCAACACACGCGCGCACACACGGACCCAAUUCCUCUCGGCGGGUGCUGAAGGAGCCUGCUGGGCUGGCGACACCUGGCGGUCGCAGCGGGAACCACAAAGCGGCACUCCGCUUCAUUCAGGCGCGCGGCUCCGGGGGUCUCCGUCGCUAAGGUCCCGUCGGGCGCUUUUUUGGAGGCCUGGGACCGCUUUGAAGGGCCGGUGGCGAGGGGUCCAAACGGGAAGUUCGCAGCGGGGGAGUUGGGAUCCUGAUCUGCUCCAGUAACACCCCCUAUCUGAAUAUAUAGCGUCUCUUUCGUUAUAGAUAUAUGUUUUUUAUACCGAGAGCGUUGCUGUUGCGCUCAGGUACUGCUUGGGGGCUUCGCUUUGGGGGCUUCUGGUUGGCCACUGUGAGAACUGGGUACUGGGCUCGAUGCCCCCCCCCUUGGCCUGAUCCAUCAGGGCUUAUGGUAGCCCCACCCCCUCCACCAAUGUCCAGUUUUCAUUCUUUUAAAACACAACACCCAAAUCCCCAGUCGCUCUGAACUGAGCAUGUAAGCAGGAUUCUACCCAGUUCCCCACUCAGAUGUCACACAAUCAGUCGUCCAGGUCCUGCUCGGGGGGCUUCCCCUUUGGGGCAUCGAAUUGGGCGCUGUGAAUACAUUUGGCCCAGUCUGCACUGCAGGGCCCUUCGGGUGAUCUUCUCCUCGCAUGUUUUCAGUGGCUUGGGUGUGUGUGUGAGGACUGGGAAGCCGCAGAAACCGGGAGUUUAGCACGGGCAAUGGGUCUCCCUUCCUGCUGCCUCGGGUUAUUUCUUUGCAACCUCUCUCAAAUUUGGGAAAGAGCCUCCGCCGCGUCGGGUCUUCUCCUGCAGCCAAAACCAACCCGGACCCCCGUUGCUAUCAAAGCGACGGCUGUGGUCCUCAGCCGGGGGCAGGAACCGGCCAAGGAAAGUGUGUGAAAGAGAAAGUGAUGUUUAUCCGUGUGUGUGUGUGUGAGUGAGUGAGAGAGAGAGAGAGAGAGAGAGAGAGAGAGAGAGAGAGAGAGAGAGAGCGUACCUUGUUUUUGCACGAUGAGAUUUCGGAAGGAGACUGGGACCAGAGUCCUGUUUUCUCCUUAGCUGCUUCCAGCGCUCACCAUCCCGCUCCUUUCCCGCCCCCCUCCAUUUCCAGUGACCCAGUGUUGCCUAGUGGUUAGAGUGUGGGACAAGGACCUGGGAGAGACCUGGGUUCAAAUCCCUCACUUCGCCAGGUGACCGGGGGCCAGUCAGUCACUCUCCGCCUAACCUACCUCGCAGGGUUGUUGGGUAGAUUAAAUGUGGGGGGGGGGAGAGAGAGAGAGAGAACCACCUUGAGCUCUUUGGAGAAAAAAGGUGGGAUUUAAAUGCAAUAUGUAAAUAAACAAAAUUAAUUUCCUUUUACAAGUUGCAAUAAAGUACUGUAAUACAGAAUCUUAUCGCCAGGGACCUCAUUCCGUCUCCCUGCUUCCCUCUCCUCCAUGUCUUCCAUUUUAUUCCAUUCUGACCCGCUCAAGGCCAUCAGACCCACUUCACAAAUUAUGUGGGCCCUGAAAGGCAUUUCUCGCAUUUCUUCAUUAUUUGGGGGGGGCGCUUUUCAAGUAGAGAGGGGUCACAUCCCAAAGCGGCUUAACAGCGGAGUUCAGGCGCGAUAUGAUUUUGAACCGGGAGAGCAGGGGGAGGCAUCGUCCACACGAGACCCAGACCCAGAAGCGUGCGUGUAAGAGAGAAAAAGAUUGUAAGAUCCGUGUUUUAUUCCCCGCGCCUUCAAAACCUCAGUGCAUUUCUCUACGCCGGCGGGGAAUACAAAUAUUAUACAGGAGUCCGUGUUCAGACGACCACGGCAUAAAAACCCACAUGAGCAGCGCUCUAAAUACCAAAUCCCUCCACUCUCUGAACACGGGUAGGACUUGGAGACUGGUUUUUUUUGGGGGGGGGGGGAGCUCGCCUCUACUAAUAUUCCCUGCAGGCGAACCCGCCCCCCGUCGCCGAUUGACAAACGGUUGGACGGGUGAAACUAUUUGCUGCUUUCAUUUAUUUCGAAGAUUUAUAAAACGCUUGAUCGAAAGAGAUUCUCCGGCUCUGCUUUCCCCGGGUUAAAUCGAGGGUUAAGCUCAGCCGCUGGCGAUUUAGGUUAAGGAGCGAAAAUGGACCCGAGGAAUAUAAGGCAAUAUUUUUUUUUAUUGCGCCUAUUCUUCCAAAAAAGGAUUUAAACCGAAUAGGAACGUUUGCUUCCUUAGCUGGAGGAGCGAGGCGGUUUUUCUCCGCCUUUUCAAAGGCUUGAAAACGACAAGAAACGCGUUAAUGAAUUAAUAACAAAAACUUCUCAACUUAAAACAAAACAACACAAUUGAAUUUACAACCGCAACAAAAACUUAUGAAAGGGGAUUUUGGGGAGGGAUCGAUGGAUUCUGCUGGAAGCCACUCAGGCGCGCCCAACAUUGGAGAGGGAGAAGAGGCCCUUUUUUAGGCGUUUGGAGAUCGCAGGCCCGCCGCCCCGGGGAUGGGCGCCUGAGGCUGGUUUCAUUUUCGCCUCUCUUGCGUCGCAAGCCCAGGCGGGCGGACGCCUCUCCUUUCCAUCGCUGUUUAGGAGAUUCCCCCCACUCAACUUUUGAAAAUACGCCCCCCCCAAAAGGGCGCACGCCCAGACUUCAUCUCCUCCGGGGCUUUCAAAGACUGGCGUGUUUGCCGCUUUGCGAGGCGAAUUUCGAGAUCGUUACCGUGGAUUUAUCCCGGUUUUUGAGCGAGAAUAACAAUUGCAUUUCAGGAAUAGCAUGUGCAAAUCCCCACACCCCAAUUUAUAAUUAUUAUUGCUAUUAUUACUAUUUUAUUAAUUGCUAAUUUAAUUUAGUUAUUAUAAUAACCGUUGUUGUUGCUAUUAAUAAUACCAACAGGAAUCUAGGUCGUAUUUGUUUUGUUUUUUGUUUGUUUGUUUGUUUUUAAACUACCUUGUCAGCCUCUUCGCGACUUCAGAAUAUUUCCAAUGAAUAAUAUUAUUAAUUGAUUAUUUCCGUGGGAUCGAACGCUUUGCUCUGGCGCCCGCUCCCUUUGCCGAAAGGCGCCCAGGGGGGCCACACGACCCGGCCCGCGGACACUUCCCCCCUUCCCAGAGAAAUGGGAAGAAACCCGGAAAGCGAGGUAACUUGUCUGCCCUGGGGAAGCUCAGCUGCCCCGCUCCGGGACGAGGGGAGACGAAGUUCGCUUUUAUCCCGCUUUGAAAGGGCUCCGCUCGCCUUCCCUGCCAGUUCCCUGCCCGGAAGAUUUGCAAAUAAGAAGCUUAGCGAAUAUGAAAGUCUGAGGUGUGUGACACAGCCGCUCGAAAGCAAAAGCAGCAAUCACGUACCCACAACGAAAGGAGGCAGGAAGGAACAGAAACAGAGCCUGCAAAGGGGGGGGGCUAGUCCUACUCGGAGUAGACGUAUUAACUGGCACGCAUAACUUAGGUCUAAUGAUUGCAGUGGCUUUACUCUGAGUAGAGCUGAGUUGGGGAAUCACUCCUCGUGGCCCUGCUUCCGUUAUAAAAACUGCUAAACCCGUUUCACUACCCUCCUCGGCGCCCCCACCCACUUUUAGUGGGGGUCCGGCUUAUUUUAAUUCGGGGUUCUCUGGUGCCUUCGGUGGGCUUUCAGAGGUGCGUCCGGAGAAACGGUGUGUCCAGGCUGACAUAAUGAAAUGCUAAACAGUAACAAUCAAUUGCACGUUUAUUCAAAAUCCAGUUAAAUUUUGUUUAAUCAAUGCUACAAAAUUGAUGAACCUGAUGCAGCGACACCACCAAAGUCUGGUUGUCAUCUCCGGUGUCCCCCUUGCCUCUUAGCGCACGCAAACACACACACACACACACAAUAUCUCACUGCUCCCCCAGGAGGUGCUACUGUCCUUUUUGGGAAAUGCUGGUCUAAAUCACCAUCAGGCAGACACGGGCAUUUCUGUAAUAGCAGGAGAAGCCAAGAGGAGCUUGGAGACUUACUGGUAGGUCUGGGCACCUGCCUGUCUCUUGGGGACAGAAGGGAAAGCCCCAACAUCUUCAUCCCAUCCCAUGACCCCAGAAAAGGAGCAUGGCCUCCCCAGUGGUGGCUCCAGCUUGCAGACCUCUGCAGACAAGCAAAAAUACAGAUGGUUCUUUAUGAACCUUAGCUUGCCUUCCCUACUCUCAUUUCUGUCUUUCCAAAUGCCCAUUGUUGACUGCUGCCUCAGUUUAAGGAAGAGGGUCUACCCGUUUCCAAAUUGGCUUUUGGGCUCCCUGCAACCCAUAAUACAGCUCAGGUCACUUGGCUUCAUCUUGGAAGGCAGAAAUGUCUCUGGAGUGCCUAAACGUAAACCACUUCAAGGUUGUUGACAAUCAAGCUGUAUAUAAAGAAAUAAAGAAAUAAAAUUGUCGGAUGCAAGCUUUGGAGUCACACAGGACUCUUGCUUCAGGAUGAAUCCUCAAAAGAGAAAGACAGGGCCCUGUGUGACUCAGAAGCUUGCACCUUAAAAUGCCAAGAUAUGAGGGAAGCAUUGACCCUCCUAUCUUCCUAUAUGGCAGCUUUCUUCAAGCCGUUGCAAUUCUCAUCAGCUAGAUUUAGCCGUGGGUCUAAUAGUCCUUGACAGAACUCUCCAUCACGAAUGUGCCUCAUCCCCCUUUCAGAGACAACUAAGACCAUCACAUGGCGGUGUGAUUCUGGACUGUAUAAGCAGGCAGUUUCUCAGAUCCAUUUAAAAUCCCCUGUCAGCCACACAACCCCAAAGUUCAAUUAUUAUCAGAGAAAAUAUAUUUAUAAAACUUUUAUCUAGGAGGGAGAGCAAACCUCAGACCCAGGGGAGAAAUGCAACCCCCCCCCCGGGCUUCCCAUCAAGCCCUUGGGCCUUGCCCCAGGCCACACCCUCUUUCCCUAGCCUCUGAUUGGCCCUGCAUUGCAGAUUUUGGAUGGCUUUUGGGGGUCCCUCCCAAUGCUCCAGUUCUGAUUCUGCCUCUUGCUCGCUUGCCUGAAUGGAAGGUGGAGAGUUUUAUGCGCGAGAGCACAGUUUUUGUAUACAAAAGUACAAAAUCACACCUGUGGCUCCGCCCUCUUUUCCAUUUGGCCCAACCCACUGCUGCCAAGUGGCCCCCAGAAAGUUGCCAGCGAGCCACUGUGGCCCUCAGGCUGAAAAAUCCUCACCCCAUGACCCUUUUCCUGCUGAAUCCUUCCUAACACACAUCCACGCUAAACAACUCCCCACACUUCCCUCAUAGUUUCCUGGUCGGGAACAAGGCUGGAUAAGGCCUUGUUGGCUGCCUGCCUGCCCAUAAGUGCCAGAAAUGAGGCUGGGAGGGUGGCUUUGGCCCAGGGCUAAGGUCAGGCUGGCAUUUUCUCCUGUUGUGGAAAUGGCUGCUGGGGGGGGGAGUGGGGUCUGGACCAAGGGAGAAAGAACUGUGUCCUUUGUUUCCCUUUCCCCAGCAAGCUCCACCUGCCUUUGUGCAGAGUUGCAGCCCUGCAGGGCUGCUUCUUAGGGGGAAAGAAAGGGUGUCUCUUUUGGGAAACCCACAAGCAGGAUCCGGGCACAAUAACUUCUGCUCCUUUGGUUCAGAGACUGCAGCCUGCAUGUCCUUUGAGAAUCAGUGGUUCCCAAACCUUUUGAUGGGCCACCCCACCCCCCGCUUGGUUGCCUAAGUUCUUCAUCCCCAGGGUUCCCUACCUUCUUAAAAGAAUUAUUCAGAAUAGUACCACUGAGGAAAGACCAGGACGCAGUAAAAAUCAGAACAGUAACAAUUAAUUGAACGUUUAUUCAAAAGCCAAUGAGAACUAUUUAGUUUCAUUAAUUCAACACAGCAGAUGAAAUCGGUCCAACUUUUCAAAGUCUGAUAGUCACCAACACCUCCAGCACCCCUGCCUCUUAGCAGCCCCCCCCCCCGUAACCCUCUCCAGGAAGUGUUAGAAACUGGGAUAGAAAAGCUAGGAGUGAAAUGGCUCCUGAGAGCUGGGUUAUGGGCGCCAAAACAGAAUGUCUAGUUGCCACUGGAGGAGUCAGCAACACUUUUUAUUUAUUACUUUUGAUAAGCAUGAAUUAAUAUGCAAUUCACGUAAGUAGCACAUUGUUAAUAUCACAUUUUUUUAGCAGAAACUGUUAAUACAUGUUUAAUUUGGUGUUGACAAUAAAAAAAUAUUGGUACCAUACUUCAGUUUUCAAAACACUCUACUCUUUAUUGCUAAAUUCCUUAACAUAUUGUCUAUCUUUGACAUAUACUUUGAGGCUUCAAAGCACAUACAUUUCAGGAAUCCUUGAGUGUCAGCCAGGUGCAAAAAUAUGGCACCCAGACUCUUUGAGCUGCUUGCAAAUGUAAAAUCUUUAGGCUCAAAAUGUGCCUGGCACCCUGCUAAUUUCGAACCCUGCCUCUAGGGGGUUCUGCCACCCACUUGCAUGCACACUGGUACCUAUAUAGAAAACCCAGACCUGGACUCCUUGGCGCCCCACCCACUGAGCCAGGGAGCCUCCAGGGCAGAGCCCAAAUGCGGCCCUCCAGGGGCCUCUCUCUCCGGCCCUCGGAACUCUCCCCAGGCCACUCCCCUCCUUGGACUCUGAUCCUGCCUCUUUCCUUCUCUGGAAGGAGCAUGGAGAGAGGUGGGUGGGUGGGUGAGUGUGGAUAGAAACCUGCCUGCUGUAUGGAGGUAAAAUUUGCUCCGGGACACUUAAUUAAUGUUUAAUUAUUAUUCUUUAACAUUUAUGCACCUUGAUGGCAUCCAUCUGUCUCGAGAGACAACAGAGUGCACCCCCAGGGGUCAAACUGCUGCAUUAGCAGCACCGGAGUGAGCUCUCCGAGGCACAAGCCUGGGCAGCGUGUCUGGAGGUCGUGGGCUGCCCAGAUGGCAAGACUCUUGGCCUCACUGAUAUGGCCUCACAGAGCAAGGCGCUUGGCAUCUUCUGAUUGUAGAAAAACCAACAGACAACCUCAAAGCUGUUUACUUACGUUCCAGUUGUGACACCCGCUUGUUUGUGUAUUAUGUUUAUUGUUGAUGCGUUGUCGAGAUUAUUUCAUAGAAUCAUAGAGUUGGAAGAGACCACAAGGGCCAUCCAGUCCAACCCCCUGCCAAGCAGGAAACACCAUCAAAGCAUUCUUGACAUAUGCCUGUCAAGCCUCUGCUUAAAGACCUCCAGAGAAGGAGACUCCACCACACUCCUUGGUAGCAAAUUCCACUGCCGAACAGCUCUUACUGUCAGGGAGUUCUUCCUAAUGUUUAGGUGGAAUCUUCUUUCUUGAAUCUUCUUUCUUUAUUUAAAGUAAAACAUGAUAAUGCAUUUUUUAAAUAAUGAAAUGUGCCUUGGUUGUCCUGCCUACCACUGACAUACGUGUCCCCUGGGAGGGGACCUAGAAGGGAAGGCAGUCUUCAAGAUGAAAGAGCCCCCCCCCCACCUCUGGACUAAUAGCCCUCCUCCUCAAUUUUGGGCAAAUCUGGCCUCCGUUAAAGAGACCCCAUUAGAGAGACUGCAUCUUCAGCAGACUGCCACACAGACGGUAGCCGAAUUUAUCUGCCCGAAAGUCAGCCAGUGCUAUAAUGUUGUUGUGAAACAGUGGUAGGGUUUCUUUUUCUUGUGACAGGCCAAAGGACGCCUUCCUUUCCCCAUUGCAUAGCCAACUUAUGGAAUUCACUGCCGCUUGAUAGCAUUAAAAGCGGGCUUUGCACUUUCUAGGGACGGGUGACGUGAGGAGGGCUUGCCGUGUCCUGCUUGCUGGACUUCCUGUUGUGGCGUCUGGUGAGAAACAGGAAGUUUGCCUCAAGGGCCUUUUGGCCUGACCCAGCGGGGCUCUGAUGCCUGUGAGGUUUUGAGGACAGAUCUCUCAGAUUCUUGCAUUUCCCUUUCUCACUGAGCCUUCCAUAAGGACAACCGCCACCCUCCUCCUCUUCAUCUUCUUGCAACGGAGAGAUAUUCAACAACGUUUUGUUCUGACCCGAUGCCCCCUUCAUUAAAAGGAAGGCGCUCCCAGGCCAACAAGGGUGGGCUCAAGUCCCAAGGAUGUUUUUUUUUCUGGGCCCUAGCAAGGGACAAACCGGCUGAAAAGCUUUACACAGGGUAUGAAAUGAAUGUGUGAUCUUAAUUUUAUGUUAAUAAAAAAUGUGAUAAUAUUUCUACCUGUUGAAUCCUAGAAUCCAAGAACUGUAGAAUUGGAAGUGACCCAAAGGUCAUCUAGUCCAACCCUCUGAAAUGCAAGAAUUAGCUAAAGCAUCCAGGACAGAUGACCAUCCAACCUCUGCUUAAAAACCUUCAAGGAAGGAGAGUCCAUCACCUCUUGUGGGAGUCCGUUCCACUGUCGAACAGCUCUUACUGGGAGAAAGUUCUUCCUGAUAGUUUAGUUGAAAUAUAAAACUUUGCAGAGCAUGGAGAAAGUGCAUAGACUUCUCAAUGUAAUACUAAAACUCAGCAGGGUCCUCCAAUGAAAUGGAAUGUUGGAAGAUUCAGGGCAGUUUUAGAGUUAAACUGUGGAACUCCCUCCCACAGGAAGCAGUGAUGGCCACUGAUCUGGAUGGAGGCAGCCACGCUUCCGAGUACCAGUGCUGCUCUUGUGCUUGCAGGCGGGGCUUCCCAGGGGGGCACCUGGUUGGCUGCUGUGAGAAUAGGAUGCUGGACUAAAUGGGCCACUGGCCUGAUCCAGCAGGUUCUUCUGAUAUUCUUCCCCAACCUUAGCUGCCAGAGACUGAAUCUUGGACCUUCUCACCAGGCAGAGCUGGCCCUCUGGUCAGACCUCACCUGGAGUACUGUGUCCAGUUCUGGGCACCACAGUUCAAGAAGGAUACUGACAAGAUGGAACGUGUCCAGAAGAGGGCAACCAAAAUGGUCAAAGGCCUGGAAACGAUGUCUUAUGAGGAACGGCUUAGGGAGCUGGGUAUGUUUAGCCUGGAGAAGAGAAGGUUAUGGGGUGAUACGGUAUGAUAGCCAUGUUCAAAUAUAUAAAAGGAUGUCAUAUGGAGGAGGGAGAAAGAUUGUUUUCUGCUGCUCCAGAGAAGUGGACACGGAGCAAUGGAUUCAAACUCCAAGAAAGAAGAUUCCACCUAAACAUUAGGAAGAACUUCCUGACAGUAAGAACUGUUCGGCAGUGGAAUUUGCUACCAAGGAGUGUGGUGGAGUCUCCUUCUUUGGAGGUCUUUAAGCAGAGGUUUGACAGCCAUCUGUCAGGAAUGCUUUGAUGGUGUUUCCUGCUUGGCAGGGGGUUGGACUGGAUGGCCCUUGGGGUCUCUUCCAACUCUACGAUUCUAUGAUUCUUCCCCUCGGCUACGGCUCCCCUUUGUGAUAAUCUCUCUGGGAUGAUCGAAAGAGAUGGAGGAAGAGGUCUUUCCGAACGAUGCUCCAUCUCCUUUGGAUCACUUGGAGAGGACAGGUUGGAGGCAAAGUCCUUUUCUGAACCAGAGAUUAUGGGAUGUUCCCACCACUCCCCCUCCCCCCAGCAAUGGGUGCAAAGCAAGGAGUUUGCCAAAUGUGCAGAGAGGAGGGACAUGUUUGGCAGGAGGCAGAACCCGGCUUUGAAGGCAUCCGAUGAUCUCACUGUUGGUUCUGCAUGCAUGGCUGGGAACCAGGGCGGCUGAUCAGAGGAAGCUACGUUAUCCAGAGUUCAAGUCUCUCCAGAGUUUCAGAAAAGCUCCACUCGGAGAGUCCGGGGGUUGAGACUGAGGGCUCUGAACAACGUCCCUUUCCGUAAGAAUAAAGUUAGAUUCCAGUCCUCCUGGUUCUUAAUGAAGGGCUGGCUUCACCUGGAGCAUAGGAAGCAAGUCGUAAUUCCAAAUAAAUCAGAAUAGCUGGCCUAUACGAUUCAGGUCCUUGGGUCCGUCUAACUCAGUCCUGCCACUGAGUGGCUCUCCAGAAAUUCAGGCAGGGAACAUUCUCAGUCCUACCUGUGGGAAUGUUGUAGAUACUAGGAGAGGAUAUAUUGAUUGAAUAGUAUCCUUCCUAACUCACGCUUGUGAGUCAACAGCAGAGUGCAGCCCCCCCCCAUAUACAGCAGGAAGCUAAUUGGUAGAUUUGUUUGAAUCUCUUUAGGGCGCUGUGGUCUAAACCACUGAGCCUAGGGCUUGCUGAUCAGAAGGUCGGCGGUUCGAAUCCCUGUGACGGGGUGAGCUCCCGUUGCUCGGUCCCAGCUCCUGCCAACCUAGCAGUUCGAAAGCAUGUCAAAAUGCAAGUAGAUAAAUAGGAACCGAUACAGUGGGAAGGUAAACGGCGUUUCCAUGUGCUGCUCUGGUUUGCCAGAAGCGGCUUUGUCAUGCUGGCCACAUGACCUGGAAGCUAUACGCCGGCUCCCUCGGCCAAUAAUGUGAGAUGAGCGCGCAACCCCAGAGUCGGUCACGACUGGACCUAAUGGUCAGGGGUCCCUUUACCUUUACCUUUGUUCAGAUUGGGUCCUGUUCCUGGUAAGGCUUCUCUUACCCCUCCUAAAAAGAAUAAAGACGAAAGAAGCUUCUUUUAAAAGUAAUAAGUCAUGCCCACCUACCUGGCCACAUGCAGGGGGACGAUGCUGCGGACCAGGUGGAACUGGCUGGAUCAACAUCGCCCUUCCGUGUCCACUCGAGGCAAACAGGAAGUGUUGUACUUGACUGCUUAUGCUACAUCCCACACGACUUGGGGAUGCUGCCAGGGAUUGAACUUGAGGCCUCCUACGUCUCUAGGCAACAUUCCUUUCCUUAAGAAUAAGGUAGGCUUCCAGUCUCCAUGGUUCCUAACAAAGGACUGAUUUCAACAGGAACAGAGGAAGAACUUUCUGGCAGUAAGAGCUGUUUGACAGGGGAACGGACUCCCUCGGGUGCUGGUGGCCUCUCCUUCCUUGGAGGUUUUUAAGCAGAGUCUUGGAUGCUUUAGCUGAGAUUCCUGGAUUGCGGCGGGUUGGGCUAGAUGACCUUUGGGUAUACCUUCCGACUCUGCAUUCCUUUGAUUCUAUGAGGAAGCUGCCUUAUACUGAGUCAGACCACUGGUCCACCUAACUCAGUUAUUGCCUACAGUGACUGGCAGCAAUGGCUCUCUAGGAUUUAAGACAGGGGACGUUCACAGCCCUACCUGAAGAGGCCAUUGGGGAAUGGGCCACAUCUCAGCAGUGGAGCAGCUGCUCUUAAUUUACUUUUAUUACAUUUACCCCAAGGUCCCAGGGAUGGGCGGCAACAAUAAAACAGGCAACUGUAAAACGGGGGGGGGGGGGUAGGCACAAUUGUAAAACAAGUGUUUUAGAUUCAAUUGAAACACUUCUGUAAUGAUUCCAUAUAUAGAAAAUGAUACAAACCAUUUUACCAAAAAAUACCACGUAUGGAAAUAGUCUGAAAAUUGUUCCAGUGCAGAUGGAGACUGGGAUAAAGGCCUUUAGGAGGCAGCAAAACAGCAAGAGAGAUGUCUAAUAUUGCAAGGAGGAGGUGCCACCACACACAAGGCCCUGUUCCCACAUUGCAUGGAAUGGACCCGCUUUGCAGACAGAAGAUCCCGGGUUCAAUCCCCAGCGGUGUCUCCAGUUAUAAAGGCUCAAGGAGCAACAGGUACUGCAAAAGGCAGACAUCUCUGCUUUGAGACCUUGGAGAGCUACUGCCAGUCAGAGCCGACAGUACUGGGUGGGUAAGCAAGGAGUCUGGUCUUGCAUCCAGAAGUUCCCUGGUUCCAUUCCCACAUUUUCAAAAACAAAGAGGCAGCAGGACAAAACGGCCUGAGACUUGGUGAGGCAGUGUCACAGACACAAAACGGGACUCAUACUGAGUCAAGCUGCCAGGCAAUGAGGCAGUGGCAGUGUAGCAGUCAGAGUGCCAGCCUAGAACCUGGCAGGCCCUGGGUUCAAGUCCCUGUUCAGCCAAGAGGCUCGCUGGUGUGACCUUGGGCCAGCUGCCAUCUCUCAUCCUGACCCGACUCAACAUCAGGAAGAACAUUCUGACAGUCAGUGGGACAAACUCGCUUGGAAGUGGGUGGGCUCUCCUUCCUGGAGGUUUCUAAACAGAGGUCGGGUGGCCGCCUGUCAGGGAUCCUUUGACUGUGAUUCUUGCAAUGCAGGGGGUCAGACUAGAUGACCCUUGGGGGACCCCUCCAAACAAUUCUAUGAUUCUUACUCUUCUAACCUACCUUGCAGGAUUGUUCUGAGGAGCAAAUGGUGAGACAAAGGAGUAUCCGUGUCCCAUUGAACUUCUCAGAGGAAUAUAAAUAAAUGAAUUUCAAAACAAAAUGAAUAAAUACCGUGCAUUGUGAAGAAAGGCUCCCCUCAUAUUGCAUUUCCUUCUUGACCAAACUUACAAAAGGGGCACCAUCAGAGACCCCAAAAGGCACAAACUUAGCUGCACCCCACACCCCCGAAAUUAACUCUCAUCUUUGCUUCAUCUUCGGCUAAUUGUUGGAAACAAUUUCUUUUCUCUCUCUCUCUCUCUUUUGGAGAGGUUCUGGCAUCAGACUCUGCAUGGCUGGUGUGAGGAAUGGGUCCCCCAGGCAUCAUCCAGGGCGCGUUGGCCAAGAUCCCUGGCAACAACAUCCCCAGACGGGCUUCGGAGGGUGGCGUGUGUUUACCCAGAAGGAAGCCCAGCUGAGCAAAAGGGUGCUAACUCUGCAGCCUGCAGGGACUGCGCUCAGGAUCAGGGCCCCGCAGAAUUUCCAGACGUGAGACCUUCAGGAGCUUCAAUCUGCUUCAUCGGAAGUAAAAUGGACCUCACAGGGACGGGAUGGUGGUGAGGACCACCUUAAAGAGCGAGAAAAUGGGGUGGGUGGUCUGAGCCUCCUCAAAAAAAGGGCGUGGGAAGGGCCUAAGAGAAGCUUCUUCUCCUGCAAGGAGCAACUCUUUGGUUUAGCCAAUCCUCACCGACCCUCAAAUGCUUCUCUGCAGCCAUGAGGACUAGAAGCUUGGGGAUUCCUUUAGAGUGGAAAUGAGAAGGGGUUCCCCACUGCGUGGCACAGGGUGGAGGGAGGGAGUAGUCCUGGGCGCGAGGGAUGCUGAAGUUUCUCUGUGAUCCGCAAAACUGUUUGCUUCCUUCCUGUGAUAUUAUCAAGGUGAAGAUUCCGCAUUUCCCUUCAGAGGUUGAUUGCCCUUCUGAGUUUCUGCCUGUCAGACAGCUAUGAAAAUAGAGAUAUGGCUCUCUGGGUGUCAUUGGACCUCUUCAUCAGCCCCAGCAGUAAAAACAAACAAACAAACAAACAGAGAGAUUUGAGAGAAAGCGAGGAGUCCGGCUGCUCCUGCGUCCAUCACGAGCAGAGGAAGGGAAAUGCGCUUUGCACAUGCUCAGAGGACACCUCCCAACGCUCAGCUCUGGCAACAGCAAAUGACUGUUUCAGUCCCGGGUGAGAGAGAUGAGCCUCUUUGAGGUGGGGGGAGUGGGGUUCAGAGGUGGUGGGGGCGCGUGGAGAACUCAAGAGCGCGAUGGGGCUGAUGCCUGAAAGGGGUUGAAGAGCCUGCCAGCCUGGCGCAGAGUGUUGGGAGGGGGCGUCCUUGGGUGUGUGGGCUGCUGCGGGGGAGGAAGAGGAAGAGGUGACUAACUUGAGCUCUGCGCCCACCCACCCCACGCUUCCUUCCCUCACUCCCCACGCCUCAUUCAUCCCUCUCUCCAUUUCUCUCUCCAUCCACCCGUUUCUUCCAGACUUUUCUCUUCCCCUCUUCCUAGCGCUGCAGCAGUUCCGGGGCAUGGGCAGAGAGAGGGGUGAGCUGGAGCCUUCACCUGGGGAGCGGAGCGGGUUUGGACUUGGAGCCCAAACCUGGACAAGGAGGGGUGGGCCAGCUCAGCGGGGGGCCCUCCCCACCUUGGCCCGAGGCGAGGGACCCAGGCAUCUUCCCUGCAUCAGCACCAGCCUUCAUCCCUGGUUGCCAUGGAGACCACAAUGAUGCUUUUCCAGGGCAGAAUGUGAGGUCAGGGGAGGGGGGCGGGAGGAGGACGAGCAGCUUCAAACACAAACAAGAUUGGGAGCGGGGAGAAGGCAAUUGCGGGGAGUGGGGGCGCGGCGGCGCCCGGAUAUGGUUUCCAGGCAGUAAAUACGCCGGGGGGGGGAAAGGGGGGGGUUGCUUCUUUUUGCAGAUUGCAGUGUAGGAAUGAAGCUGGAAUUGGGAAAGUGAACCGUUGUGGCGCUGGGGGACGACGACAGGCAUUUGUGGUUUGUCCCUUUCGGCGUUAUCUGUAAGGCAAAAUGUGGGGAGCGGAGGUCAUAGUCCGCUGGCAAAGCCCCCCCCCCCCAUUCCACGCUCUGGGUUAACAGACCUGGAGUAAAAUAGCAAUUUUAGCCCCCCUACGGACUAGCACCUUGGCACGACUUUAAGAGCCCAGGGCACGUUUUUAACGCUUCCCUUGGGGCUGGGUGUGGGGAGAAGAAAGCGACAAUUUUUCUCAGUGUAGACCCCCCCUUCCCACAGCCAGCCAGCCGGCGAUGCCCCCCCCUCCCUCGGGUGGCGCUGACACUUCCUCGCCCUGCUGCCCAUCCACCUUCUUCUCCCACGCUGACUUAUCCCUUGCCAGCCCCGCGGUGUGUACUCUCCGAUAUAAGUAUUAUGGGAGGGGGUGUACGCUGCUGCCCCACCUCGGCCCCUUUCUUCCUGCUGCCGCUUUGCCCAGGGUUGUGGGUGGGUGGGUGGGCGCCCCACUCUGGGAGGGGAAGGAGAGGAUGUUGUGUCUGGAGAGAGAAAAUAUUCCCGGGAUAUCUUCCACCCCCAAAGUCCCUUCUCAGAACCGCUGUGCGUGUUUCAUGCAGAGUAGAAAGGGAGGGGGAGGAGAAUGAGGCAUAAUGAGAGGCUAACAACGUAACGCAACCCCCCCCCACCUUAAUCUACUUCUAAGUAGUAGUACUACUCUGGCGCUCCCCCCCCCUUCCCCAAAAGAGCCUCUUCCUUAGGAUCAGGCUGGGGGAGGGGUGGACUGGGUGUGUGUGUCAUCUAGAUAUCAGUAGCCCCUUUAUUCUGUCCUCAGAAUCCUGUCCCAGCCUGCCGUUGGCUAGGCGAAGUCAGACCCCAAAAGGAGAGAGUCCUCUUCGACCAUGUAGACACGCGCGCGCGCGCACUACUCGGAUUUAUUCCGCAUCCGCCGCUGGUUUGGGCACACGGCUUUAACCGCGACCCGCAUCCACCCCGUCCCCCGUCCCCUUGCCGGCUCUUCUGAUAGGUUCCUUUUCGAUGCCCCCCCCCGCACCCUGCAUGCAAACUGGCUUCGAUCCAGAUUGAGAAAAGCAGCCGCCUGGCUGCAUUUGGAGCCAAUCCGGUAACAGUGCCAUACAAACCAUUCCGCUGAGCCGGUUUCUUCUGGGCUGGCAGGGGGUUUUCAGUGGGUGGGUUGAUGCAUCUUUUGCCAGAGGCAGGAAGUGCUCCCCUUGGUGAGUUGGCACGUGUAAUUUGGAGAAAAGAGAAUAGAUUAAUCCCAGAUUAAAGCCCGUUAGCAACUGUAUUUACCCAAGGGUCACGCUGUAGCUGGAAGCAGGAGGUGGGGGGCGGAGGUCUGUUCGAUUUUAUUAGCAUAACUCCCAACACACACACACACACACACACACACACACACACACACACACACACACAAACACGUACACGUGAGAACAAGAGCCUGGCUGCUGGGUCAGGACAAAGAGGCCCAUCUAGUUCAGUAUCUCCUUCUCUCUUUGGCAGGAACUACCUGUGACAGGAUUUGAGCACAGGAGCCCUCUCUCCUCCUGCAGUUUGCAGUAGCUGGUAGAACAGGGGUCCCCAAACUAAGGCCCGAGGGUCGGAUGCGGCCCAAUCGCCUUCUAAAUCCGGCCCGCGGACGGUCUGGGAAUCAGCAUGUUUUUACAUGAGUAGAAUAUGUCAUUUUAUUUAAAAUGCAUCUCUGGGUUAUUUGUGGGGCCUGCCUGGUGUUUUUACAUGAAUAGAAUGUGUCCUUUUAUUAAAAAUGCAUCUCUGGGUUAUUUGUGGGGCAUAGGAAUUCGUUCAUUUUUUCCCCCUUCAAAAUAUAGUCCGGCCCCCCACAUGGUCUAAGGGACAGGGGACCGGCCCCCUGUUGAAAAAGUUUGCUGACCCCUGUGGUAAAAUCACAGAAUCCUAGAACUGUAGGGUUGGAAGGGGGCCCCCCAAGGGUCAUCUAGUCCAAACCCCUACAAUGCCGGAAUCACAGUGAAAGCAUACCUGAUGGAUGGCCAUCCAAUCUCUCUGCUCCAGGGAAGGGGAGUCCGCCACCUUCUGAGGAAGUCCAACGUCCUGUAGGAAUCCUGCAAGCAGGACCUGAGUGCAGAAGAUGCCAGGAGGGCCUCUGCAAGUCAGUGUAGGCAACACUGAGCUAGAUGUCAUGAUCUAAGUUCCUGUUUAAAUAACCCAUGAGGACCGGAAGUUUAGCAGCUGCUUUGCACACAGAAGGUCCCAGGUUCUCUCCCCCCCCCCCCAGCAUCUCUAAGCAGGACUAGGAAUGUCCAAGGCCACCUAGUGAGCUUCGUGGCUGAGUGGGGACCUGAGCCUGUCUAGCCCAGGUCCUAGUCCAGCACCUUAACCUCUGCCCCACAUGACAACUCCCAUCACACAAUGCAUGUCCCACAGACUCCUUCCGUUUAGAAGCCCCAAGGCAGGUUCCCCCUCCCCCACCUAGGCUCACUGAGAAAUAACAAAAUAAAAAUAUUCCUUCCAGUAGCACCUU
Molecule: non-coding RNA, 17014 nt
Organism: Zootoca vivipara (common lizard)
Lineage: Eukaryota; Metazoa; Chordata; Lepidosauria; Squamata; Lacertidae
Source: RefSeq, a predicted model, not a curated record